AACGAACGCUGGCGGCAUGCCUAACACAUGCAAGUCGAACGAGACCUUCGGGUCUAGUGGCGCACGGGUGCGUAACGCGUGGGAACCUGCCCUUAGGUUCGGAAUAACUCCCCGAAAGGGGUGCUAAUACCGGAUAAUGUCUUCGGACCAAAGAUUUAUCGCCUUUGGAUGGGCCCGCGUUGGAUUAGCUAGUUGGUAGGGUAAAAGCCUACCAAGGCGACGAUCCAUAGCUGGUCUGAGGAUGAUCAGCCACACUGGGACUGAGACACGGCCCAGACUCCUACGGGAGGCAGCAGUGGGGAAUAUUGGACAAUGGGCGAAAGCCUGAUCCAGCAAUGCCGCGUGAGUGAUGAAGGCCUUAGGGUUGUAAAGCUCUUUUACCCGGGAUGAUAAUGACAGUACCGGGAGAAUAAGCUCCGGCUAACUCCGUG
Molecule: ribosomal RNA, 431 nt
Filed under: uncultured bacterium
Lineage: Bacteria
Description: partial 16S ribosomal RNA
Rfam family: Bacterial small subunit ribosomal RNA
Source: RNAcentral